Long non-coding RNA from Physcomitrium patens, 999 nucleotides. RefSeq lists it as uncharacterized. The record is from RefSeq and is a predicted model, not a curated record. NCBI's taxonomy places the organism in Eukaryota, Viridiplantae, Streptophyta, Bryopsida, Funariales, Funariaceae.
GCACAUGCAAAGAAAGCAAAACCCACAGUGGGUAUCUUUUGGACUGUUGCAAUCCUGGUUCUCACAACUUCGCAGCUAUAUUAGCCCCCUCUCGCUCAGCUCCUUCUGCUAACAACCCCAUUCCCUGCAGAGCCAGUCUUCACCAGUCUAGUUAGUGGCUCUUCGUUCAGUUGUGCCGAUCGAACCUGUAGUUGCAGCAGCUCUGACGAUGAGGAGAUUCCAAACCUUGACGCUGCUUGCAGCGCUGCUGCUGCUAGUUGUUUGCAGCUGCUCAGCUGCAAGGAUUCUAGAGGAGAAUCAUGCGGCGCCGCAGAUGAAGUUUAAGAAGGGCAUGAUGCAUCAUCCCCCGGCGCCGAAGCUGUCAUUGCCUCCAUUGCCAUCGAUACCGAGCUUUGGGAAGAAGUGCCCUCCUCCUCCUGCUCCCCCUGUUGUAGAGUCUCCCCCGUAUGUGUCCCCCCCCUCACCUGUGUACAUGUCUCCUCCUUACUCUCCCUCUCCCGUGUACAAGUCCCCUCCUUCCCCUUACUAGACACAACAGAGCCAGUAAGUCAGUCAGCCAGCUGAGGUAUUGUUGGCUAACGGGUACAUGCCAAGUUGAGGGGUUGAAGGAACUAGGUGAUCGACAAAGCUGCGUUGGGAGAAUUUCAUUAUCUGGUGGCAUGAGAAUUUGCUGGUAGAUGGGAAAGACAGAUGAUCUGAUUGGGGCCAGAGGUGUGAUGAGUUCGUUGCAUUACAAGUCACUAUUUGUAUUUCUGUAAGAAAGAUUGAUGUCAUGUGAGGAUUAUCAUUCAACAGUGUUGGAUUCCACAUGAAAAUAAGUUUUUAUUGUGUACUUUAGCAUGGUUCCUAGUAUUACAGUUGGUGCCGGUUAGCAGUUGUUGUGAGUGUCGAUUAAUGCACGUUGCUUAGAGCGGCGCAUGAUAUAGCUUCUGGUGGCUAUUCAUUUAUCAAUGAACUCUACUCUCUCUGGCAUUUGAAACAAGUGUCCUUUUUUUUUCA